CAGUUUAUUUGACGAACCUUGCUGUGUAAUAAGGUUUUACGGGUGACGCCCAAAUCGGAGUUAGAAAAACACUUAGGCAAGUCAUAUUAAGUCACGACUUCCUGCAAACCACAUUCGAUGUCGGUCUGAGACGAGAUUUCAUACUUCUUAGAUUUGCGAUGACAAAGAAGUAAAGGUUAUCCGAAGACCCCUCCGCUGUAAAGCCUCUCAUUGGACAGCGCUAAUUCGAUUACUGGACCAAACCGCCACCUGCACAUACAUACGUAACUUCAACAAGUUGCAAUGUCGACCGCACAGAGUCCAACAAUAUCUACCGCCUCGGAGUGGACAUGGAAGGUUCACACUGACGGCACGGUUGGCCCAGCCGAGAUCGCGGCUAUCGUUUGUACAGGGUUCAUACUUCUCUGCUUCCUGGUUACACUUCUCUUGGACAUUCUUCAAACCAGGAAACAAACGCAAGUCAAGAAAGCCAGCGUGGUCGCGCCAGGGCCUGAGUGGUACCGUAACCGCUAAGAGACGUACUCACAACUUCAAACAUUUAUCAUAGAAGCUUAUCGACACGUCUUAGUACAAUGCUAAACUUUCUUCAAACAUCGGAUCAAAUUUUCAACGCGAGUUUACGUUCUGAAGAGAUCUGUCAUCGGUAUUGAUCCUGGAGAAGGCGACGGUGGUCGUUAAAAGUUUGAUCCGUGUAUACAUUUGUGUUGAAAUAAAGUUAACGUUUAACAUUAUAUUGUACUAUCAAUUUUUGUAUCCUACGAUAUUUAGCUGUAUGAAAACGGAGUUAUUGUAGUCAGUGAGUUUUUUUUAUCCUGUUGUAUGAUCUCAUUUGGGCAGGCUCCCAAGAUGUGAUACGGGACUAGUGGAAUAGAAUACUUGGAGAAUUGGAUAUCUGCUUUGGCUCUGUUCCAAUGUUGUAGAUAUGCAGGAAUUGAUGACUCAUGGCUUCGCCCACAUGUGUCUGAACGUUAUAAAUGUCCAUACCCAUUUAGAGCGUGUUUCAUAUGUUUCUCCAUGCGAACUUUCUCCCGACUUGACCGAAUACUAAGGACGUUACAAGAGGCAUCGUUCUAGUUAUGGGCAUGGUUGUGAAACUACGUAAUGUAUCGAUGGACAAACACUGUACACUAUGGUCAGAAACGGCUCAAGAGUAUAGAUGCAUAGAACGUUUCUUUUAUAUGGCAGACGAACUUGUAUAGAUUUUUACACAAAGAGAUAUUCCUACAUGUGCAUUCCACUCCAGAAAGAAGUGCAAUUUCCAAUAGGUAAUGUAUUAAUGAAUAUAUUAAUCAGCCGACCUUACCAUUGUCUCUUCACACACAAAGCAAACAUUGUGAAGAUUUUUUCUGUUCAUUCAAAGCGGAAAGUUGAACUCAAACGGUAGUAUAUUACAUGAGGCACAAUCAAUUUGUCCACCAUAACAUCCUUGUAAAACCGUUAGCUGUGUUUGCAGACCUAAUUAUAGCCCCAAACAAUAGCGAGUGGAUGUUACCUAGAAUUUAUGACGCGAAAGAAUUGAGGGAAGUUUAGAAAGGGUUAUUUCAUUUCAAAUUAUGUUUGGAGUAUGAUUCGGGUAUGCAAUGCUAGGAGAUGGAGUCAGUCCAAAUAAGCUGCACGAAAAUGACGGUUGAUGAUCGUUGUGACAGAAGUGUUACGAUAUUUAGUAGAUUAGGUCUAGGUCAUGUUGAUUUGAUUAUAUUGCUAAUGUCCUCUGGGAACCCCAA
Long non-coding RNA from Branchiostoma floridae (Florida lancelet), 1724 nucleotides. RefSeq lists it as uncharacterized. Lineage: Eukaryota; Metazoa; Chordata; Leptocardii; Amphioxiformes; Branchiostomatidae. The transcript is spliced from 3 exons. The record is from RefSeq and is a predicted model, not a curated record.